Oncorhynchus mykiss (rainbow trout) is the source of this 3140-nucleotide non-coding RNA. Lineage: Eukaryota; Metazoa; Chordata; Actinopteri; Salmoniformes; Salmonidae. The record is from RefSeq and is a predicted model, not a curated record.
AUACCAGUCACCAUACAGCUGGGAGAGAUAGGAGGACAGGACAAAGAUACCAGUCACCAUACAGCUGGGAGAGAUAGGAGGACAGGACAAAGAUACCAGUCACCAUACAGCUGGGAGAGAUGGGAGGACAGGACAGAGAUACCAUACAGCUGGGAGAGAUAGGAGGACAGGACAGAGAUAUCAUACAGCUGGGAGAGAUAGGAGGACAGGACAGAGAUACCAGUCACCAUACAGCUGGGAGAGGUAGAGGAGAGCAGGACAGAGAUACCAGUCACCAUACAGCUGGGAGAGGUAGAGGAGGACAGGACAGAGAUACUAGUCACCAUACAGCUGGGAGAUGUAGACGAGAGCAGGACAGAGAUACCAGUCACCAUACAGCUGGGAGAGGUAGAAGAGAACAGGACAGAGAUACCAGUCACCAUACAGCUGGGAGAGGUAGAGGAGGACAGGACAGAGAUACCAGUCACCAUACAGCUGGGAGAGGUAGAGGAGGACAGGACAGAGAUACCAGUCACCAUACAGCUGGGAGAGGUAGAGGAGGACAGGACAGGACAGGACAGAGAUACCAGUCACCAUACAGCUGGGAGAGGUAGAGGAGAGCAGGACAGAGAUACCAGUCACCAUACAGCUGGGAGAGGUAGAGGAGGACAGGACAGGACAGGACAGAGAUACCAGUCACCAUACAGCUGGGAGAGGUAGAGGAGGACAGGACAGGACAGGACAGAGAUACCAGUCACCAUACAGCUGGGAGAGGUAGAGGAGGACAGGACAGGACAGGACAGAGAUACCAGUCACCAUACAUGGUCCUGGAGGAAGGGAAGUAACCUGUAACCUUCAUGUUGAUAUAAGCUCCUGCCAUGCAGUCACAUGGCAACGACCAACUGAGACAGAAACUUGGUAACCUCUAGAGAUGUUUUAAUUUGAUUCAUUGAUUAACCUCAUUUUACAGUGACCUACUGUCUGAAACGUUAUUUCACUUGGAUAUUGCACACAGACAAUCUGUUUUAUGUUUGUAUUUGUUAAGUGUAUGGAAUUAGAGAGGCAUUUUAGAUGGCGAUACAGCUCACUGAAUUGAUUUUGAAGGCAACAUGAAUGAUUGUUUCCAAACCCCUGUUUAACAAGUGCUACUUCAACACAUCUGGUUUACUGUGGUGUUCCUGAGAGCCAGGAACCUGGAAAAUAAGGCUUCAGCUUCCUCUUUAUUCCCAUCUCAAUGCACUCGUCUUCAGGCACAAUACAUUCACCUAUUUGGGUCAAAUACUACUAUACUUACUAUUGUAUAGUGAAUACAGGUAGGAGCUGCAAUCUUUUAGACACUAUUCUAACAGAAAGGGUCAUUCAUCUGUAAUUAGAACUACUGCUAUUCAUUUGCAAAUUGGGCAAAACUCCUGAAAUGAUUCAAAGUUCAUGACAACGUGUCAAACUGAAUGUAAAGUACACUGGUAGACGAGUCGUGUGUUUUUCUCCUGUGCUGGGCCUCAAGGUAGCAGGCAAGCAGACCCACACAGAUUUGAUGUGGUCCCGUUCACAUGUUGGUCAUGGCCUUGGUUGACCACCUGCCAUGUUGACGUAACAUCUUAGAAAAUGCAUUUUAAGAUCAAUAGAAGAGCAUGAGAAUUGAAAAGAAAAACGUACUAAUGAAUUGGAAACUGCAUUGGGUCUCUGUAUUCCAGUGGACCCACACACGUCUUUGCUUUGUUAGACUGUUUCACUUUCUGUUACUGUAACUGACUGGUCUUCUGACUGGCCUGGCAGGCUGGUCUUCUGACUGGCCUGGCAUUCUGGUCUUCUGACUGGCCUGGCAGGCUGGUCUUCUGACUGGCCUGGCAGGCGGGUCUUCUGACUGCUCUGGCAGGCGGGUCUUCUGACUGCUCUGGCAGGCGGGUCUUCUGACUGCUCUGGCAGGCUGGUCUUCUGACUGGCCUGGCAGGAUGGUCUUCUGACUGGCCUGGCAGGCUGGUCUUCUGACUGGCCUGGCAGGCUGGUCUUCUGACUGGCCUGGCAGGCUGGUCUUCUGACUGGCCUGGCAGGCUGAUCUUCUGACUGGCCUGGCAGGCUGAUCUUCUGACUGGCCUGGCAGGCUGAUCUUCUGACUGGCCUGGCAGGCUGAUCUUCUGACUGGCCUGGCAGGCUGAUCUUCUGACUGGCCUGGCAGGCUGAUCUUCUGACUGGCCUGGCAGGCUGAUCUUCUGACUGGCCUGGCAGGCUGAUCUUCUGACUGGUCUGGCAGGCUGAUCUUCUGACUGGCCUGGCAGGCUGGUUGGUUUGUUUGUUUUUAAAGGGUAUAUGUUGAGUAUGUAUAUAUGUUUUAAAAAGUUAUAUUUUUGAACGAUCUGCUGUUUUAAAAAUUAUUCUGUGUUGAAUUGGGCCCGUGAGUCUUUCGUUGGGGACUAACAUCGCAGUGUGUGUCACACACACCCACACCUUACUGGACACUGCAGGGUGAAGGUUUUACAUUCAGGAUUAGUGGUUCAGUAGAGCACAUGCACCUUUCAGGAGAGAUUCCUGUCUGUAAGCUUUAAAGGACUGGGCUUAGUAAAGAAGGAAAGAAAUGGGGUUGUAGGGAGAUGUGGGGAUAUAUUUUAAGGGCAUUGGCAAUAAGCUACAUGUUGCAGCUAUCUGUAAAUCAACAUAUUUUUGUUUUAUAUUUCAACCCUGUACAGCCUUAGAUUGAAAGGCACCUCGGACUAAAAACGAACAGAGAAAGAUAUCUUGAGUAUUUUUUUUCUUUUGAAACAAAAUGUCUGUAAAUAGAGAUGUAAAUAUGGUGCUCUAUAUUUAGAGUCGGCAGAGUGAACCUCUUGGUGCAGAGCUGUAAGUAUAGCCUUAUUAGGAAUGGGUGUCUCCAAGAAAAGAACAUGACUUUAUUCAUGUCGGCCAGUCUGACCGUUGUCUUACCCAGAUGUAAACAGCUGAAUGACAUGUGCAUGUGUUAUAUGUUUAACAUUAUCCAUCCAAGGACAUCGAGAGAGGAAGAACCAUCCACUGAAUGUUACUGGACCAAACCAUGUACUGGCUAAAUGAAAAUAUGAAAUGGCAGAAUUAUUCAAUGUAUUAUUCUGUAGUUGAUACCUGUUGUGAACAGUUACAUAUAGCUAUGGUGAUAUCCUAAAUAAAAUGUUGUGGGAAAUGACGUCUUA